AUGAUCACCACCAGGAAGGACAGAUCAAUCGCAACUUAUAUUCAGGAGUUAAACCAACACAUCCAACGCCAGGAGAAUCAGAUGUGCGCAGAUAUGGAGGAUCUGCAGAAGGCUAUGGCCAAGAUCAAGGAGCUACAAGAAGAACUCAAGGCUACACGCAAAGAUUAUAUGGAAGAAAUCGUCGCUCUAGUAAGACAGAACGGUGACCUUAAGGAGAAGAUUGGAGUAUUCAUGGGAAGAUCAGCACCCAGAGGAGAAGAGGAUGAACCUACUUGUCCAGAUAACUAUAUCAUCAUCGACGACACCGACUUGGAUCCCGACGACAGCGGUGAUGACUAUGUUGAUGAAGCUGGAGCAAAUAUCAUGGAAUCUGCAUUGGAGCAGUUUUUCUAG
RNAcentral lists this ribosomal RNA (393 nucleotides) under Triticum aestivum (bread wheat). Its description in RNAcentral is "partial small subunit ribosomal RNA". The record is from RNAcentral. Lineage: Eukaryota; Viridiplantae; Streptophyta; Magnoliopsida; Poales; Poaceae.